GGUGAAAAGCACCCCGGAAGGGGAGUGAAAUAGAACCUGAAACCGUGUGCUUACAAGUAGUCAGAGCCCGUUAAUGGGUGAUGGCGUGCCUUUUGUAGAAUGAACCGGCGAGUUACGAUUUGAUGCAAGGUUAAGCAGUAAAUGUGGAGCCGUAGCGAAAGCGAGUCUGAAUAGGGCGUUUAGUAUUUGGUCGUAGACCCGAAACCAGGUGAUCUACCCUUGGUCAGGUUGAAGUUCAGGUAACACUGAAUGGAGGACCGAACCGACUUACGUUGAAAAGUGAGCGGAUGAACUGAGGGUAGCGGAGAAAUUCCAAUCGAACCUGGAGAUAGCUGGUUCUCUCCGAAAUAGCUUUAGGGCUAGCCUCAAGUGAUGAUUAUUGGAGGUAGAGCACUGUUUGGACGAGGGGCCCCUCUCGGGUUACCGAAUUCAGACAAACUCCGAAUGCCAAUUAAUUUAACUUGGGAGUCAGAACAUGGGUGAUAAGGUCCGUGUUCGAAAGGGAAACAGCCCAGACCACCAGCUAAGGUCCCAAAAUAUAUGUUAAGUGGAAAAGGAUGUGGCGUUGCCCAGACAACUAGGAUGUUGGCUUAGAAGCAGCCAUCAUUUAAAGAGUGCGUAAUAGCUCACUAGUCGAGUGACACUGCGCCGAAAAUGUACCGGGGCUAAACAUAUUACCGAAGCUGUGGAUUGUCCUUUGGACAAUGGUAGGAGAGCGUUCUAAGGGCGUUGAAGCAUGAUCGUAAGGACAUGUGGAGCGCUUAGAAGUGAGAAUGCCGGUGUGAGUAGCGAAAGACGGGUGAGAAUCCCGUCCACCGAUUGACUAAGGUUUCCAGAGGAAGGCUCGUCCGCUCUGGGUUAGUCGGGUCCUAAGCUGAGGCCGACAGGCGUAGGCGAUGGAUAACAGGUUGAUAUUCCUGUACCACCUAUAAUCGUUUUAAUCGAUGGGGGGACGCAGUAGGAUAGGCGAAGCGUGCGAUUGGAUUGCACGU
This 992-nucleotide ribosomal RNA is filed under the name Staphylococcus aureus. Its description in RNAcentral is "partial 23S ribosomal RNA". It matches the Rfam family "Bacterial large subunit ribosomal RNA", at positions 513 to 1511 of the family's 2925-position model. The record is from RNAcentral. Lineage: Bacteria; Bacillati; Bacillota; Bacilli; Caryophanales; Staphylococcaceae.